UCCAGGGAUACAGGCAUCCAGCAACAGGACCUCCGUAAUGCCAUAAUGGAACGUGAGGUCUGGCGUAGCAUGGUAAAUUCCAUUGUCUCGACCACGGUCGAACAAUGAUGAUGAUGAUGACCCUCUCUAGUGAGCUGUAUUUGCUGUGUUACUUCUCUGUAAAUAUUACUCAUAAGAUAGGUAUGAUGGGAUCUAUUGAUGUUUUAGUUUAUCUGAAUGUGAGCAAAUGCUAGAAAUAAUUUCACCUUUUAUUUAACUUAAUUGAUAUUAAUGCUAACUUUAUCAAUGUGUCAAUGUUUAGCUGACUAAAAGCUAUACAUAUUAGGAAACCAAAUUCAAAGUCACAAUGUAUAUACCUAAUAUGACAAUCUUACCUAGUUCAGGUGGUAAAGUGCUCAGCCGAUUUCCUUGAAUAUAUAAUUCCCUUACGCGUUGAAGGCUGCCUAUUUCUUUUGGAAGGGUAUGAAGAUCAUUGUCUCUUAAAGACAACUAGAAAGAAAAAAAAUGUUAUUGUGUCAUGUCAGUUCAUAAGGUUCCAAAUUUGUAUUAAACUUUUAAUAUUUGACAAUUUUAAAGUUCAAUAGCUUGGAUUUAAGGUAUAUUAUCUAUGAUUGCUGAAUGAUUAUUUCAGAUUUAAAUAAUCAGCAUACAUAAUAUAACCUAUAACCUAACUAUUGAACAGUUAUUUUCAUGUUAAUGUUUUGAAUAAUAAUUCAUUAUCUUAAUGAAGAUUUAACUAGUAAUUGUAUAUCUACUUUGUGACGUAAAAGGUUUCUAUAGGAAGUAGGAUUUUGCCGUACUCACAAUUUGCAAAUUUUGAAACUUUCCUAUCUCAGGAGGAAUAAGUGUAAAAUCAUUGUCGCCAAGAUAUAAGGCACGCAGUGUUUCU
Molecule: long non-coding RNA, 889 nt
Organism: Octopus sinensis (East Asian common octopus)
Lineage: Eukaryota; Metazoa; Mollusca; Cephalopoda; Octopoda; Octopodidae
Exons: 2
Source: RefSeq, a predicted model, not a curated record